RNAcentral lists this ribosomal RNA (1341 nucleotides) under uncultured bacterium. RNAcentral describes it as "partial 16S ribosomal RNA". It matches the Rfam family "Bacterial small subunit ribosomal RNA", at positions 28 to 1364 of the family's 1533-position model. The record is from RNAcentral.
GAUGAACGCUAGCGGCAGGCUUAACACAUGCAAGUCGAGGGGCAGCGAGUAGAUUGCUUGCAAUCUAUGUCGGCGACCGGCGCACGGGUGCGUAACGCGUAUGCAACCUACCCAUUACAGGGGGAUAACACUGAGAAAUCGGUACUAAUACCCCAUAACAUCCAGGGAGGCAUCUUCUUGGGUUGAAAACUCCGGUGGUAAUGGAUGGGCAUGCGUUGUAUUAGUUAGUUGGUGGGGUAACGGCUCACCAAGACAACGAUACAUAGGGGGACUGAGAGGUUAACCCCCCACAUUGGUACUGAGACACGGACCAAACUCCUACGGGAGGCAGCAGUGAGGAAUAUUGGUCAAUGGACGCAAGUCUAAACCAGCCAUGCCGCGUGCAGGAAGACGGCUCUAUGAGUUGUAAACUGCUUUUGUACGAGGGUAAACGCAGAUACGUGUAUCUGUCUGAAAGUAUCGUACGAAUAAGGAUCGGCUAACUCCGUGCCAGCAGCCGCGGUAAUACGGAGGAUUCAAGCGUUAUCCGGAUUUAUUGGGUUUAAAGGGUGCGUAGGCGGUCGGAUAAGUUAGAGGUGAAAUCCCGAGGCUCAACUUCGGAAUUGCCUCUGAUACUGUUCGGCUAGAGAGUAGUUGCGGUAGGCGGAAUGUAUGGUGUAGCGGUGAAAUGCUUAGAGAUCAUACAGAACACCGAUUGCGAAGGCAGCUUACCAAGCUACUUCUGACGUUGAGGCACGAAAGCGUGGGGAGCAAACAGGAUUAGAUACCCUGGUAGUCCACGCAGUAAACGAUGAUAACUCGUUGUCGGCGAUACAAUGUCGGUGACUAAGCGAAAGCGAUAAGUUAUCCACCUGGGGAGUACGUUCGCAAGAAUGAAACUCAAAGGAAUUGACGGGGGCCCGCACAAGCGGAGGAACAUGUGGUUUAAUUCGAUGAUACGCGAGGAACCUUACCCGGGCUUGAAAGUUAGUGACAGAUCUGGAAACAGGUCUUCCCUUCGGGGCACGAAACUAGGUGCUGCAUGGUUGUCGUCAGCUCGUGCCGUGAGGUGUCGGGUUAAGUCCCAUAACGAGCGCAACCCCUACCGUCAGUUGCCAGCAGGUCAAGCUGGGCACUCUGGCGGGACUGCCGGUGUAAGCCGAGAGGAAGGUGGGGAUGACGUCAAAUCAGCACGGCCCUUACGUCCGGGGCUACACACGUGUUACAAUGGCAGGUACAGAGGGCAGCUACCCAGCGAUGGGAUGCGAAUCUCGAAAGCCUGUCUCAGUUCGGAUUGGAGGCUGAAACCCGCCUCCAUGAAGUUGGAUUCGCUAGUAAUCGCGCAUCAGCCAUGGCGCGGUG